Molecule: long non-coding RNA, 451 nt
Organism: Leopardus geoffroyi (Geoffroy's cat)
Lineage: Eukaryota; Metazoa; Chordata; Mammalia; Carnivora; Felidae
Exons: 3
Source: RefSeq, a predicted model, not a curated record
ACAGAAUAAUCACUUCUGUCCUAAGAUUGUUGUUUUAGGAAUAUCUUACCAUGAAUACCGUUUAAAAUUGUCUCACUGUGAGGAACCCCAAAUCAAAUUCCUUCAUAUGCAGGCUGAAAGAGAACAUCUGCAAUGGUCGUAAAUAUGGCAGAGUCCCAAGUAUCUCAUGUGAUUUUCUUGGCAUCCACUCAAGUACUGAUAAAGCUACUAGUGCCAACCUCAUCCCUACCUGCCACCCUGAAUCUGCUGCUUUUCUGCUUUGCAACUUGACCUUGACAUUGCUGCUGGAAUGUGACAUUGCUAGCACUUCCCACAUUGCUAUCACUCCCUCUGUCAGUACCAGUGCUCCUCGUUAAGGUAAAGGAGGUCCUUCUUUCCACCUAUACCCCCCCCCAGUAUUAACAAAGAAUGCCAGGGGAAAGUUCAACCCAAUAUUUUGGGCUAACUCACA